This 2155-nucleotide ribosomal RNA is filed under the name human gut metagenome. RNAcentral describes it as "bacterial LSU rRNA". It matches the Rfam family "Bacterial large subunit ribosomal RNA", at positions 1 to 2112 of the family's 2925-position model. The record is from RNAcentral.
UGAAGAUAUUAAGGGCACACGGUGGAUGCCUUGGCAUAGGAAGCCGACGAAGGACGUGGCAAGCUGCGAUAAGCCGCGGUGAGGGGCAAGCACCCUUCGACCCGCGGAUCUCCGAAUGGGGGAACCCUGCUGGGGUCGAGCCCAGCAACCCCGAGCUGAAUCAAAUAGGCUCGGAGGAGGCAACCCGGGGAACUGAAACAUCUAAGUACCCGGAGGAAAGGAAAUCAACCGAGACUGCGCGAGUAGCGGCGAGCGAAAGCGCAAGAGCCUAAACCCGUGCGCGUGUAAGCCUCCAGGCGUUGCCGCACGUGGGGUAGUGGGACCCUCCGUCCCGUCGCUGGAGCGGCGGGGUCGGGUCAGAAACCCUCGGUCCAGGGGAACCGGCUGGGAAGCCGGGCGAUACAGGGUGAGAGCCCCGUACCCGAAGGACCGCGGGCCCGAGAGAGGGAUCCCGAGUAAUGCCGGACACGUGAAACCCGGUAUGAAUCUGGGGGGACCACCCUCCAAGGCUAAGCACUCUCCUAUGACCGAUAGCGAACCAGUACCGUGAGGGAAAGGUGAAAAGCACCCCGAGAGGGGAGUGAAACAGCACCUGAAACCGUGCGCCCCCAAGCAGCCGGAGCACCCUUCGCGGUGUGACGGCGUGCCUUUUGUAGAAUGAGCCAGCGAGUUGCGGUUGGCGGCGAGGUUAAGGCGUGAACCGAGCCGCAGUGAAAGCGAGCCUUUAAGAUGGCGAUCAGUCGCCAGCCGCAGACGCGAAGCCGGGUGAUCUAUCCAUGGGCAGGCUGAGGCAGAGGUAAGACUCUGUGGAGGGCCGAACCCACUUCGGUUGAAAACGGAGGGGAUGACCUGUGGAUAGGGGUGAAAGGCCAAUCAAACCCGGAGAUAUCUCGUUCUCCCCGAAAUAGCUUUAGGGCUAGCCUCGAUCGCUUACCGACGGUGGUAGAGCACUGGAUCCGUGCGGGGGCCUCACCGCCUACCAACCGAAACCAAACUCCGAAUGCCGUCGGUCCCGAGAUCGGGAGUCAGAACAUGUGGGCUAAGCCGUGUGUUCGAGAGGGAAACAGCCCAGACCGCCUGCUAAGGUCCCCAAAUCAACGCUGAGUGGCAAAGGAUGUGCGUUUGCCUAGACAACCAGGAUGUUGGCUUAGAAGCAGCCAUGCAUUUAAAGAGUGCGUAACAGCUCACUGGUCAAGUGGACAUGCGCCGACAAUACACGGGGCUAAGCGUUGUACCGAAGCAGCGGACUGUUUUAUCAGUGGUAGGGGAGCUUUCCAUGCCGGGGCGAAGCCGACGGGCGACCGUCGGUGGACUGCAUGGAAGUGAGAAUGCUGGCAUGAGUAACGAGAGAGGGGCGAGAAACCCCUCCGCCGUAAGCCUAAGGGUUCCUGGGCAAGGCUAAUCCCCCCAGGGUCAGUCGGGAGCUAAGGCGAGGCCGACAGGCGUAGCCGAUGCACAACAGGCGGACAUUCCUGUACCACCGCGGAGCGUUACUACGACGGGGUGACGGAGAAGGGUAGCCGGGCGGGGUUCUGGACGUCCCCGUGAAAGCGCGUAGGCCGCAGGGCAGGCAAAUCCGCCCUGCAGCAGGCCGAGACGUUAGACGAAGCUUCAUGUGAAGCCGGCGAGCCCAUGCUUCCGAGAAAAACCUCUAAGGAGCGAGGCGGUGCCCGUACCAAAACCGACACAGGUAGGCGGGUAGAGCAUACCAAGGCGAUCGGGAGAACCAUGGUUAAGGAACUCGGCAUACUGACUCCGUAACUUCGGGAGAAGGAGUGCCCCCGCCUGUGAGGUCCCACGCGGACGGAGCGGGAGGGGGUCGCAGCGAAACGGCCCAAGCGACUGUUUACCAAAAACACAGGACUCUGCAAAGCCGCAAGGCGACGUAUAGGGUCUGACGCCUGCCCGGUGCUGGAAGGUUACGCGGAUGAGUUAGCGCAAGCGAAGCCCUGAAGCCAAGCCCCAGUAAACGGCGGCCGUAACUAUAACGGUCCUAAGGUAGCGAAAUUCCUUGUCGGGUAAGUUCCGACCUGCACGAAUGGCGUAACGACUUGGGCGCUGUCUCAACCAUGGACCCGGUGAAAUUGUAUUAUUCGUGAAGAUGCGAAUUACCUGCGGAAGGACGGAAAGACCCCGUGAACCUUUACUGCAGCUU